Molecule: ribosomal RNA, 490 nt
Filed under: uncultured bacterium
Lineage: Bacteria
Description: partial 16S ribosomal RNA
Source: RNAcentral
GUAGUUAGCCGGGGCUUUCUAAUGGGGUACCGUCAUUUUUUCGUCCCCCACAACAGAGGUUUACAAUCCGAAAACCUUCUUCCCUCACGCGGCGUUGCUGGGUCAGGGUUUCCCCCAUUGCCCAAUAUUCCCCACUGCUGCCUCCCGUAGGAGUCUGGACCGUGUCUCAGUUCCAGUGUGGCCGAUCACCCUCUCAGGUCGGCUACCGAUCGUUGACUUGGUGGGCCGUUACCCCGCAACUAUCUAAUCGGACGCGAGCUCAUCUUAUACCGGAUUACUCCUUUGACCCCUGCACCAUGUGGUGCUGUGGUCUUAUGCGGUAUUAGUGAACCUUUCGGUUCGUUAUCCCCCUGUAUAAGGCAGAUUGCUCACGCGUUACUCACCCGUCCGCCGCUAGAAACAUCAAUAGCAAGCUACCAAUGUUCCCCGCUCGACUUGCAUGUGUUAGGCACGCCGCCAGCGUUCGUCCUGAGCCAUGAUCAAACUCUGA